Molecule: small nuclear RNA, 317 nt
Filed under: Myotis davidii
Lineage: Eukaryota; Metazoa; Chordata; Mammalia; Chiroptera; Vespertilionidae
Description: 7SK RNA
Rfam family: 7SK RNA
About the family: 7SK was discovered as an abundant small nuclear RNA in the mid-70s but a possible function has only recently been suggested.
Source: Rfam by way of RNAcentral
AGAUGCGAGGCCCAUCUAGCUGCAGCAUCUGUCACCCCAUUGAUCGCCAGGGUUGAUUUGGCUGAUCCGGCUGGCUAGGCGUGUGUCCCCUUACCAAUCCAGAUGCCUCUCUCCCAAAGCUGCGCCCUCAGUCAAAGAGGACAACCUUCCCUCCAGAGGAUAGGUCUUCGAUCAAGGGUAUACGAGUAGCUGCGCUCCUCUGUUAGAACCUCCAAACAAGCUCUCAUGGUCCAUUUGUAGGAGAAUGUAGAGUAGUCAAGCUUCCAAGACCAGGGACAUCCAAAUGAGGUGCUGCACCUGGCAGUCUGCUUUCCUAA